CCUACGGGAGGCUGCAGUAGGGAAUAUUGGACAAUGGGGGGAACCCUGAUCCAGCCAUGCCGCGUGUGUGAAGAAGGCCCUCGGGUUGUAAAGCACUUUCAGUGAGGAAGAACGCCUGGUGGUUAAUACCCAUCAGGAAAGACAUCACUCACAGAAGAAGCACCGGCUAACUCCGUGCCAGCAGCCGCGGUAAUACGGAGGGUGCGAGCGUUAAUCGGAAUUACUGGGCGUAAAGCGCGCGUAGGUGGCUUGAUAAGCCGGUUGUGAAAGCCCCGGGCUCAACCUGGGAACGGCAUCCGGAACUGUCAAGCUAGAGUGCAGGAGAGGAAGGUAGAAUUCCCGGUGUAGCGGUGAAAUGCGUAGAGAUCGGGAGGAAUACCAGUGGCGAAGGCGGCCUUCUGGACUGACACUGACACUGAGGUGCGAAAGCGUGGGUAGCAAACAGGAUUAGAUACCCCAGUAGUC
RNAcentral lists this ribosomal RNA (465 nucleotides) under Vreelandella stevensii. Its description in RNAcentral is "partial 16S ribosomal RNA". It matches the Rfam family "Bacterial small subunit ribosomal RNA", at positions 338 to 795 of the family's 1533-position model. The record is from RNAcentral. Lineage: Bacteria; Pseudomonadati; Pseudomonadota; Gammaproteobacteria; Oceanospirillales; Halomonadaceae.